UUUUAAUUGCGACUCGAGCUUCUAUGCUAUAUGCAUAUUCGCUUCAAACGAUCUCAUCUAUCAAAUCUCCGACGCGAGUCACGCUACCUUAAUAUUCUUUUGACACAAAUGUCUUUUGAUCUCUAACUGCGCUGAGGCUUGAAUCGCUUGCAUUGAAAGUUCAGGACUGUGAUAAAUCAAUUAUUUCUUCAUUGUAUGGUAGCUUAUGAAGAGCUCUUAUUUGGCUGUUGGGAACAGAUGGCCUAUCUUGUUUUACAAAUUACAAUUAUUGAUCAUCUGUUGUUCACUCUCCUGUAAGCAUAAUCCUGAUGAUUGUUCUAUAUGGACUGCCUUUGAUUUACCUUCCACUCAAAGCAAAAGAUUAUUUUCCUGAAUCAUUCUCCAAGUUUGUCUUCUAUUGUUUUGUUGCGAGUUGCAGCUCAUAAGCACAUUUAGUUUCGUAGCUCCUCUCUUGUUGCAGUGACCAUUUUGUGUCCUUCCUCGGAUUAGCUUCCCAUUGACGAAAUGAAUUCAGGAUCCAUUGACUCCUCUCCCCAACCUGUUGCUCAAGCUUCUGAUGUUGAACCUCCAGCACCAGCUGUCAAUGGAGAAAAUUGUUCUGCUCCGGAAUCACUAUCUGUGUCGUCUGCUUCUAGCAAAUCUUCUGGAGCUAAAAGUUCGUAACUCCCUUAGCCCAAAGCACCAGAGGGAAUGAAAACAGCAGCUGCUGGGUUUCAACAUUCUCACGUUUCACUAAUGGGCUUGGAUUGCAUUUUCCUUCAAAGCCUUCUGGUGCAGAAGAGAGUACUGAAUCACCUCAGAUUCUGCACAAGCUGGCUUCUCUGAAUCAUUCACAAAAGGUUUAUUUGACUCCUCCAAGAGCGCAGUGAAGGCUGUGCAGGUCAAAGAUCGUCAAAUUGUUUCUCACAAUUAAUGCAGAUACCAGAACUAUCGUAUGUCAUACCUAGCAAGAAUUCCAUUCAGUAAUUCAGAGAGUCAGUGAUGAAUAAUGUUGCAACAAUGGAGAAAUUUUCACAUGCAGCCAGAAGAUUAUUGGAUUAGAGCAUCAAAGAAAGGGACUAUGAUCUUUGCCAUUCCAGGGGAGCCUGGUUUGACAGAGUUGGUUGGAGACUUCAAAAUUCAUUUUCAUGAUCAACAGGGAGAUUUGUACUGGUAAAUGAGCAUUGUCUUACAUAAAUAGAUGAUGCACAGUGACUCUAUUUUGUCGCAAGUGAAAAAAGUCUUAAAAGAAAGUAGAACCAACUGAUAUGCAUCAAAUACUACAUUUUCAUCCUCAAUGAGCAUUCAUAGAUUACUUCAGAAAGCAAAGUCUUCUCGUACUGGUGCCUGUAGCCAUGCACAUGCUUGGGUGAGACUUCACAUUGUCCGCCCUCACUAACCAAUAAUUAUUAUUGCUUUGGUAAAUGAUGCUUGUUGCUUGUGUUUCAAAUUAUAUCACAAACGGACUUAUAAAACAAUCAUUUUCCCAUGGAUUUUCUGCUAAAAUUUCUUGUAUCAAGAACUGCGUCCUGCAUGUACAGAUUACUUUCUCAAGAUCUUUUUUCUUGAAUAGUAUGUGGAUUGUGGAACAUUAAUAGAUACUCAUCUUCUUCUAAGAAUUUGUUUUAGAAAGGAUUACUAACAAUAUAUGGAGACUGUUCUAUCAGGAAUGCAUGCCUUAUGCCUUAUAAAACAUGUUUUCUUAUGUCAAGAGUUCCUUUAAUUAUACAUACUAGUUGCUUAAGAAUGAAGAUUGAUCCUUUUUUAUUUAACUUGUCAGUUGGCUGAAUACAACAAUGUAAGAGAACAGGAUCACACCUGGUGGUUCUGAUCUUGAUGGCUUUGAAAAUGUAAAUUACACUUCAGCUGUGUGAUAGAGCGCUAGACCCUUCACUAAUUAGUAUGCUUUAGUUAUAUUCUCAAACUUUGCAGAGAAAUUUGCGUUCUCCAGGAUUCCAGGUUGAAGUUGUGAUAGAUCACGAGAUAUUCGACCAUCAACUUCCAAAGCUGAUUCUGCAGGCAGUGUCCGAUGGGAGAUGAGUUAUGUUCCAGUUCAGUAUUUUCUUGCGGAGAUGACCAACAUUAUGAAAGUGAAUGAUACAUCUUUGCUACAAACCAUUGUCACCGCCUUUUUCAUGGAAGAACACAAGACUCCCACUCUUUGCUGAUCUCCGUAUCUCUGGAACCUCGAUUUUACUUGCUUUCGGUUGCAAUUCUUUCCCGAUCUCUAUUGUUUGGCUUCUAAUAGAAACCGUAGCCGGAUAUGUAUUUCCUGCCUCUAAAGAUGGUGAAUCAAUCUCUUUCGAGUCUA
Molecule: long non-coding RNA, 2290 nt
Organism: Tripterygium wilfordii
Lineage: Eukaryota; Viridiplantae; Streptophyta; Magnoliopsida; Celastrales; Celastraceae
Exons: 5
Source: RefSeq, a predicted model, not a curated record